Molecule: ribosomal RNA, 426 nt
Filed under: uncultured bacterium
Lineage: Bacteria
Description: bacterial SSU rRNA
Rfam family: Bacterial small subunit ribosomal RNA
Source: RNAcentral
GGAGAAUUUUGGACAAUGGGGGGAACCCUGAUCCAGCCAUGCCGCGUGUGUAAAGAAGGCCUUAUGGUUGUAAAGCACUUUAAGCGAGGAGGAGGCUCUUUUGGCUAAUACCCAAGAUGAGUGGACGUUACUCGCAGAAUAAGCACCGGCUAACUCUGUGCCAGCAGCCGCGGUAAUACAGAGGGUGCGAGCGUUAAUCGGAUUUACUGGGCGUAAAGCGUACGUAGGCGGCUUUUUAAGUCGGAUGUGAAAUCCCUGAGCUUAACUUAGGAAUUGCAUUCGAUACUGGGAAGCUAGAGUAUGGGAGAGGAUGGUAGAAUUCCAGGUGUAGCGGUGAAAUGCGUAGAGAUCUGGAGGAAUACCGAUGGCGAAGGCAGCCAUCUGGCCUAAUACUGACGCUGAGGUACGAAAGCAUGGGGAGCAAAC